AAUACCUUUGCCGGCGACCGGCGCACGGGUGAGUAACACGUAUCCAACCUGCCGAUAACUCGGGGAUAGCCUUUCGAAAGAAAGAUUAAUACCCGAUGGUAUAAUAAAGCCGCAUGGUUUAAUUAUUAAAGAAUUUCGGUUAUCGAUGGGGAUGCGUUCCAUUAGGCAGUUGGUGAGGUAACGGCUCACCAAACCUUCGAUGGAUAGGGGUUCUGAGAGGAAGGUCCCCCACAUUGGAACUGAGACACGGUCCAA
This 255-nucleotide ribosomal RNA is filed under the name uncultured bacterium. RNAcentral's name for it is "partial 16S ribosomal RNA". It matches the Rfam family "Bacterial small subunit ribosomal RNA", at positions 77 to 334 of the family's 1533-position model. The record is from RNAcentral.